RNAcentral lists this ribosomal RNA (362 nucleotides) under Hexapanopeus caribbaeus. RNAcentral's name for it is "partial 12S ribosomal RNA". The record is from RNAcentral. Lineage: Eukaryota; Metazoa; Arthropoda; Malacostraca; Decapoda; Panopeidae.
UAUUAUACUAAUAAAUAUUAUGAAAAUCUGAAUUAUUAAUAGAUAUAUUCUUUAAAUUUGAAGAAUUUGGCGGUAAUUUAGUCUUGUUAGAGGAACCUGUUUUUUAAUCGAUACACCACGUAUAAUCUUACUUAUCCUUAAAGUUUAUAUACCAUCAUUAGUAGAUAAUUUUUAAAAAAUUAAUUAUUAAAGUUUAAAAAAAAUUAACUUAAAUUAGAUCAAGGUGUAGCUAAUGGGUAAGUUAAAAUGGGUUACAAUAAAAUUUAUUUAGACGGAAUAAAUAUAAAGAAGUUAGUUUAUAGAAGGAGGAUUUAAUUGUAAUAUGAGUUUAAUAAGCUUAUAAGAUAUAAGCUCUAAAUUAU